AUAUUGCGCAAUGGGGGAAACCCUGACGCAGCAACGCCGCGUGAGUGAGGAAGGUCUUCGGAUUGUAAAACUCUUUUAUUAGGGAAAAAUUGCUUAGUGGUUAAUACCCAUUGGUUUUGAUGGUACCUAAGGAAUAAGCACCGGCUAACUUCGUGCCAGCAGCCGCGGUAAUACGAGGGGUGCAAGCGUUGCUCGGAAUCAUUGGGCGUAAAGGGCAGGUAGGUGGUCUCGUUUGUCUGAGGUGAAAGCCUUGAGCUUAACUCAAGAAGUGCCUCGGAAACGGCGAGACUGGAGUACUGGAGAGGGUCGUGGAAUUCCCGGUGUAGCGGUGAAAUGCGUAGAGAUCGGGAGGAACACCAGAGGCGAAGGCGGCGACCUGGACAGUGACUGACACUCAACUGCGAAAGCGUGGGGAGCAAACAGG
This 424-nucleotide ribosomal RNA is filed under the name uncultured bacterium. RNAcentral describes it as "bacterial SSU rRNA". It matches the Rfam family "Bacterial small subunit ribosomal RNA", at positions 361 to 776 of the family's 1533-position model. The record is from RNAcentral.